CCUACGGGAGGCAGCAGUGGGGAAUAUUGGGCAAUGGGGGGAACCCUGAUCCAGCGACGCCGCGUGAGUGAAGAAGUAUUUCGGUAUGUAAAGCUCUAUCAGCAGGGAAGAAAGAAAUGACGGUACCUGACUAAGAAGCCCCGGCUAACUACGUGCCAGCAGCCGCGGUAAUACGUGGGGGGCAAGCGUUAUCCGGAUGUACUGGGUGUAAAGGGGGCGGAGACGGCGAUGCAAGUCUGAAGUGAAAGGCGGGGGCCCAACCCCCGGACUGCUUUGGAAACUGUAUGGCUGGAGUGCAGGAGAGGUAAGUGGAAUUCCUAGUGUAGCGGUGAAAUGCGUAGAUAUUAGGAGGAACACCAGUGGCGAAGGCGGCUUACUGGACUGUAACUGACGUUGAGGCUCGAAAGCGUGGGGAGCAAACAGGAUUAGAUACCCCUGUAGUC
Molecule: ribosomal RNA, 443 nt
Filed under: uncultured bacterium
Lineage: Bacteria
Description: partial 16S ribosomal RNA
Rfam family: Bacterial small subunit ribosomal RNA
Source: RNAcentral